Molecule: long non-coding RNA, 17380 nt
Filed under: Homo sapiens (human)
Lineage: Eukaryota; Metazoa; Chordata; Mammalia; Primates; Hominidae
Description: non-protein coding NUTM2B-AS1:42
Source: RNAcentral
AGAAGGAGUGUGGUCCACCGGAGGACUCCCUACAUUCUUCCUCCAUUACCUCACUGCCUCCGGUGGCUGCUGGGAUACCGGAGGACUCGGGUCCCGGCUCGACUCAGUCCUCCAGCCGCCCGGGGAAUACCUCUAGUUCUUCCCGGCCGCCGCCGCCGCCGCCGCCCCGCCGCUUCCUCCUCCGCCUGCCGGCCUCCUUCGCCCCGUCCCGUCCGCGCAGCGCGUCCGGCCCGCCCGCAGGCCAGCUUCUCUCGGGAGCCCCCACCCAGGCGCAUGGCUCCAUGAAGCAAGAGGAGGAGGCAGAGCGCGAGAGGUCCCGUCCGCCCCAGCCGCGUCUGGGCCAGGAUAAAAGCAAAACCAUAUUCCUGCUGCUGUCAGUUAUGAUGCACUGAGAAAACUUCAGAGACCUAAACUUUUUCCAGAGAAGAGAAGCUUUACUGGUGUUCCAGCCCUAAGAAACCUUUGUUCAAGAAAACGGCAGAUGCUCUGUUGAAUCCACUGGAGAUUGUUCUGAUACUAAGGACAAGUAUCAACCAUCUUUCCUGUGAAAAAUUCCCUCUCGUACUUUAGUUCUGUGGAUCCAAAAUUUAUAGCAUUCUUCUACCACCACAGGGGCUCAUAUGACAUUAACAGACAAGACACUUUUCAGAAAGACAGGUCAAUGGCACAUGCGUAGGUUUGUUAUGUAGGUAAACUAGUGUCACAGGGAUUUGUUGUGCAGAUUAUUUCACCACCCAGCUAUUAAGCCUAGUACCCAUUAAUUGUUUUUCCUGAUCUUCUGCUUCCUCCCACCAUCCACCCUCCCAGAGGCCCCAGUGUCUGUUGUUUCCCUCUAUGUGUUCAUGUGUUCUCAUAAUUUAGCUCCCAUUUGUAAAUGAGAACAUGCAGUAUUUGGUUUUCUGUUCCUGCCUUAGUUUGUUAAGGAUAAAGACCUCCAUCCAGCUCCAUCCAUGUUCCUGCAAAGGACUUGAUCUCACUCUCUUUUAUGGCUGCCUAACAUUCCAUGGUGUAUAUGAACCACAAAAUAAAGAUGGUUCUUAACUUUUAAAUUAAGAUUUUUAAAUUAAGAUGAAUCUUGAUUUUUAAAUUAGUAUGGUUUUAAGAUAGUUUUACAGAUAGAUUAGAUAAUCUAUCUAGAGAUAGAUAGGGAGAGAUAUCUAUCAAUACAUAUCUCUAUCUAGAUAUAGAUAGAUGGUUUUCUAUAUAGACCUAUCUAUCUAUAUAUGUAUACAUCUAUAUAUGUCUACACAUAUCUCUAUACACAUAUAUAUAUAUUUAUAUCUACAUCUAUAUUUCUACAUGUAUAUAGGUAUGUAUAUAUCUACAUGUAUAUAUGUAUAUAGAUAGAUAUAUACAUAGGUAUCUGUAUAUAUGCAUAUACAUGCCUAUCUAUCUUUAUCUACAUGUAUUACAUAGAUAGGGUAAUUACUGAUAAAUCCUUUGGCCUUCUUUGUAAAUCUCUGGGCUAAAGACCCCUCCAGUAUUAUACAUGUUCUGGUCUAGAUUGCUCACUCACCAGUUCUCCUCACUAUCUAGAGAAGAUCCACUUAGCAGGCCUCCCCUUAAAGAAGGGCACCUUAACUGGACUCACUCCUCCCAUAGUAGACUGCACAGUACACAAGCAGAAGAGGAGAGCUCAAUAAUAAAGUCACCAUAAAGGAUAAUUUUUAAAUGAAUAAAGAAAUCAGAAAAUCCAGUAUUGGCUAGCACAUAUGGCUAUCAGCAAGCUCACCCUACAAAAAAAUAGUGAGAAAACAGUUCGAAUAUUGGCCGUUUGGGGCACAUAUUCUAUAAAAAGGAAAAGUUUUGAAAUGUAUAUAUAUUUAAUUUAACUCUAAAAUAUUUGUAAGGCAAGCCCAGUGGCUCACACCUAUAAUUUCAGAACUUUGGGAGGCCAGGGCAGGAGGAUCGCUUGAGGCCAGGAGACCAGCCUGGGCAACAUGGCAAGACCCCAUAUCUACAGAUGGUUUUAAAAAAUUAGCCAGGUAUAACACGAUGAAACCCCGUCUCUACUAAAAAUAUAAAAAUUAGCCGGGCAUGGUGGUGGGCGCCUGUAGUCCCAGCUACUCGGGAGGCUGAGGCAGGAGAAUGGCAUGAACCCGGGAGGCAGAGCUUGCAGUGAGCCAAGAUCAUGCCACUGCACUCCAGCCUGGGCAACAGAGCGGAGACUCCAUCUCAAAAAAAAAAAAAAGAAAAUUAGCCAGGUAUGGUGGCACACACUUGUGGUCCCGUCUAUUUAGGAGGUUGGGGCAGGAGAAUUGCUUGAGCCCAGGAGUUUGAGGCUGCAGUGAGCUAUGAUCAUGCCACUGCACUCUAGCCUGGGUGAUAGAACAAGACCCUGUCUCUUAAAAAAAAAAAAAAAUUGUAUUAUGCACCAGGUACAAUGUGCUAGGUACUGGGGAGAGAUCUUAAAAAAAUGUAUUAUACACCAGGUACAAUGUGCUAGGUGCUGGGGAGAGAUCAGGGGAUAAAGCAGACCAAAAUUUCUGUCCUCAUGGAGCUUGUGGUCUAAAGGAGGAAAAAAGGCAAUAAACAAAUUAAAAAAGAGGAAUACAAAGUAUGUGGGUAGGGAUGAGUACAACAGAGGAAAAUCAAGCAGGAAAGAUAGAACUCUGGAAAGAAGUAGGGCCAGUGUCAAACAGGAUGGCCAGGGAAGGCCACACUGAGAAGGUGACACCAAAGCAAAGACCUACAGGAGGUGAAGUGGUGAGCCAUUCAGGUCACUAAAGGAGGCAUGUUCCCAGGAGAGGGGACGACAAUGCAAAGGCAAGAAGGAGCACCAGCGUGUGUGUUGAGAAAAGCAUGGGGACCCAAGCAGCUAAAGUGGAACACAUGUAAGAAGAAUAACCGUAAUGAGGUCUGAGAGACAACUGGGUGGGAAGUGUCUUAAUCUGUUUGUGUUACUAUAAAGGAAUAUCUGAGUCUGGGUAAUUUAUAAAGAAAAGGAGGUUUGUUUAGGUCACAAUUCUAUAGGCUGUACAAAAAUCAGCACCAGUAUCUACAUCAGGUAAAGGCUGGAGGUUGCUUCCACUCAUGGCAAAAGGGGAAGGGGAGCCAGUGUGUGCAGAGAUCACAGGGUGAGAGAGGAAGCAAGAGAGAGAGGGAAGCACCGGGCUCUUUUAAAAAACCAGCUCUUGGGAAAACUAAUAGAGAACUCACUCACUACUCUCACCAUGGCAGGGCAUUAAUCUAUUUAUGAGGGAUCCAUCCUUAUGAUCCAAACACCUCCCACUAAACCCGACUUCCAACACUGGGGAUCAGAUUUCAACAUGAGAUUUGAAGCGGACAAAUAUCUAAACUACAGCAAAGAGUACAGAUCGGGAGGCAUGGCAAGCUCUGCUGGUCACUCCAAUGGAGUCAACAUUUCAAGAAUGUUACAAGCAGCUGGGUUGGUGGCUGAUGCCUAUAAUCCCAGCACUUUAAAAGGCUGAAGUAGAAGGAUCACUUGAGGCCAGGAAUUCAAGACCAGCCUGGGCAACAUAAAGAGACCCUGUCUCUACCAACAAUUUAAAAAAAAAAAAAAAAAAAAAAAAAGCCAGGCAUGGCAGCGAGCACCUGUUGUCCUAGGUUCUCAGGAGCCUGAGGCAGGAAGAUUACUUGAGCCCAGGGGGUUGAGGCUGCAGUGGGCCACAACUGCCCCACUGCACUACAGCCUGAACAACAAAGUGAGAUCCUGUCUCUUAAAAAAAUUAAGAAAGAAAGAAAAGAAAACAGUAUUAAACCAGUUUUCUAGCAGCACAUAGGGGAAGAGUCUGUUGUCCUCCCAGAUCUCUGGCCAAGGCCCUGGCAGAGGCAAGAAUUACAAAGACCCUAACCUGUUGUUUCCUAGCUCCCCAGAGACACUAGGGAAAGCUAUCUCAAGGGCAAACACAUGUUGACUGGUCUCAAGGAGUAAGGGGUUAUUGUUCCCUCCCCUGGAGAGAGUGCAAUCAAGGGGAGUUGGACAACCCAUCUUUGCUCUACUUGCUGCUUCCUUUUUUCACCAACUAUAAGUCCUUUGGGUUCUGUAUAACCAGAUCCCUGAUUCCUCUAGCCAAAAUUGGUUUCAUUUUGACCAGAGACUGGUUACAACACACCUUUCUACCACCACCUCUAUUAGAAGAUUUAACUCUUUGUUUCUCUAAUAAUCUCUUUUCAUACUUAAUUGUGAGCCCCUUAAGAGACACAUCUUACUACUUAUUGUGUUUUCUGUGCCUAAGUAUUCUGUGUAAUACUUACAACUUACUGCAUCUUCUGAUGCAAAAAAAAAAGUUUAAAAGGAAAUGGAUUGUCAUCUGCUGAAUCAGGCUAAGGGUAGGUCCUGGAAGAUACUCCUUCCAAACCUUAUAAUCAGAGGUGACUGCACAGUUGGCUUACAAGAGCCUCUUUUCAAAGUAAUUGGGGAUGCAGUGCUUAGAACUGGGCUGGCAUUGUAAUUUUUUUAGGAAUCUGCUCCCAUUUACAAGACGUUCCAUCAUAAAAAUCAAAUCAUAAAAUCAAAUCCAAGUAUGUUCAUUUGGUAUAUUCAUUUUCCACUUCUUACUAGGGGUGGUGGGGGAGGAGAAGCUGGUACAGGAGAAAUGUCUUUUAUUUCCCCUCUAUAACAAUGGUAUAAUUCCAAAUCUUAUAGACCAUCACACAGUUCUGUUAGUUGAUUGUUUUCCGUGGAUUCUACCCUGCCAGGAGACACAAUAAAUAACUUUUUGAAACUUCAUUCUUCAGUCCUGGGAGUUUUUACAAAUAAAAGGACACACAUGUUGAGACAAAUUACAUGCUUGAAAAUCUGUCACUAACAUCAAUUUCAUGUUAAAAAGUACUAAGCAACUAUUACAGUGGCAUUUCUUUUGUUGUUGGGGAAAAUAAUGUGAAUAGCUAUGCUAAUUCAGAGAUAAUUUUCAAAUUUCGUGACUAAAUAAAAAAGCUAAGAGUAGUUCACUAGGUAAUGUUUGGGAGGGAGUUGUUGGUUUUGUUGAUUUAUUAUAUCUUGACUGGUAUGAUUGAAAUGAAUUAAAUGUUAGACGUGCUUAACAUUUUAUAUGCUAUAUAUCAUCAUAAUAGCAAAGUGCACAGAUCACAUUAUUGAGUGCCUUUGGAUUUUAAAAAUAAAGAUUGCUAUUCAGAUGAAUACCAUUUCAUUAUUGCCUGCACUACUCUGUCAAAUUAAAAAAUAUAAUAGCUAUCUUUAUUCUCGUUUUAAAGCAUGAUAAUCAUCAAAAUGUUGAAGUUUAUCACAGUUCUACAUUAAAAAUAAGUCAUUUUUGUAGAUGAGUUAUCCAAUACAGCAAAGGCCAUCAAAGAGAAAGCCAAUACUUUCAUGGAGAGCUCAGAGCCUUAAUAGAUCCCAGCAGCAAUGCUUCAACCAUUCCCAACUCCAUGUUCCUUGCUAGAUGCUCCUCACCCCAAACUCCUGCAAAUUUCAAGAAUUUCUGUGUAUGUGUGUGUUAAGGGAGGAGUUUUAAAGUAUCUCUGUAUUCAACAAGAUACGUCAGCUUGUAAGCAGCAGAAACCUACUUAAACUAGCUUACAUGAGAAAAUAACAUUAUAAAGACAUAGGAGUGUUUCUACACCAAGAGCUGGAGGUAUUGUUUGGUUUCAUGAAGGAUUAAAAUCUGUAAUUCAAAAGUAGACUCAGGCAGCUGCACAUCAAUCUGUGUCUUUCUCUCUGGUACUGUGGACUCUAUCCUGUCUGACUUGCUUUGUUCCUGGGCAUCAUUCUUGCUCUGGAAAACACACUUUCCCUGCUCAUUUUUUUAUUUUAAUGCUUAGGUUCAAUCUGCUCAUUUUUCCCUACAGCAGAAGACAGCUUACUGUGUUCCAGCAAACAACAGAGCCUGACCAGCCUCUCUGAAUAUGGGGCCCCCUUCUCACUCACAAGUAUUCUUAACCUGGGGUCCAUGUGGGGUUUGUGAAUUUGGAUAGGAUUUUAAAAUUACAUUUUCAUUUCCACUAAUCUCUAACCGAAAUUCAGUCUUUUCUUCAACUGUGAAUGUAGGCAGCAAGCCACAGUGGAACUUGCCGAACCUAUAAAUUUGUCACUGUGAUUGAUGUUAUAAUGUUACACCUAGAUCUUCUUUCAGAAAUGAGGACUUACCCCAGCUACUAUGAAAGCUGUUGGCAGAGUGCCCUCAGCUGGCAGCCCCAGGGAAAUGGCCUCAGUUGCAGAGAGCCACCUCAGCUGGGUAAUAAACACCUGGCCCUCUUUGAUUCAGGGCACUUCUGAAGGGUCAUAUAAUCUUCAGACCUUCUGUAAGGUUGGCUGAAGCUUCCUCUCAGACUUCAUCACAGCUCAAUGUCAUCCUUCUCUGACCAGUUCCACCUUGCCUUCCCUCAUGUUGAUGUCAAGAGCGUUCCCUAGCAAACUCCCCAAAUGCCAAUCUCCAGCUUAGAUUCUGCUUUCUGGGGAAACUGAACUGUGACAGUUACUAAUACAAAGAAUCAAUAUUUUUAUGUCACAUUAUACUUAGAUAGCUUGAAAUAUAUAUGCUCAUCCCCACCUCAAUAUUUCAGCCUUCUGGAUCUAGUUACUUAAUACAUUAUUAAAAAACUUUUUACUAUAUCAAAAAUUACUUUUUAAACGUUUUAGUAACUGUAUUUCAAGAUAAUUUUCUGUGUUAUCCUAUGCCUUUUAUUUUAUGCAUCUUAAAACAUCAUUCUGAGAAGGAGCCUAUAGGCUUUAUCACUGCCAAAGGAGUCCAUGGCAAAAAAAAAAAAAAAAAAAAAAGUUGGAGGAGUCAAGAACCCCUGGGAACUAUCUCAGGAGAUCUUGGUUUUUUGCAGGGCUUUCAGCACCAUCCAUUUUCCAGCGGCUCCUUAAUCGAUGUCACUCCUUCCCCAUUGCUCCAGUGCUACUCAGCUGAACUCACCAAUUGCUCUUAACUGAUCUUUUACAUCACCGUUCAUUGCUCCCAUCCAUUUUCCCUACAGACACCAGAAUGGUUUAAAUAUAUAUACAUAUAUAUAUAUGCAGAGCAUGAUAGCUCAUGCCUGUAACCCCAACACUUUGGGAGGCCAAGGAGGGAGAAUCACUUGGGGUCAGGAGUUCGAGGCCAGCCUGGUGAAACCCCCAUCUCUACUAAAAAUACAAAAAUUAACCAGGCAUGGUGGCAUGCACCUGUAAUUCCAGCUACUUGGGAGGCUGAGGCGUGAGAAUUGCUUGAACCCAGGAGGCAGAGGCUGCAGUGAGCUGAGAUCACACCAGUGCACUCCAGCCUGGGUGAUGGAGUGAGACUCUGUCUCAAAACAGAACAAAACAAAUAUAUAUAUAUAUAUAUGCACACACACACGUAUACACACACACACACACACACACACACACAUAUAUAUAUAUACACACACACACACACACACACACAGAAUAAAUAUGCCUGGAGUUAAUUCUAAAAUAAUAGUUAACAUUCCCCAGAUUUUUACUAUGAGCCAAACUCUCUGCUAUUAUUGCAUUAAUAUAUUUAACAGGCCUAUGAGGUAUGUACUGUCAUUAUCACUAUUCCAUACAUGUGAAAACUAAAGAUUAUAGAAGAAAAAUCACUUUUCUAAAAUCACAUACCUAAUAGUAAGUGGCAGAAUUGAACUGGUAAUCUCAGAGCCAAAGCUCACUCUUUAUCUUUUUGAAAAAUAACUUUUUAUUUUAAAAAAUUUCAAACAUACCCCAAAAACACAAGGAGAUGUAUAACAAAUUCCCAUGUACUUAUCACCCAGUCUUAGCAACUUUCAAUAUUUUGACAGUUUUAUUUUAUCUGUUAUCAUUUCCCUUGGCACUCCCACAUUUUCUUUCUUUAUAUCUGGAAUAUUUAUUAAAGCAAACUCCAGACAUCACAGAAUUUCACCCAAUACAAUAGUAGAACCAUUAGAGCCCAGUAGAAUACUUCAGUAGAAUAAUGCUUUAAAAAUGUUUCUCUAGUCAUGCCAUUCCCUGUUUCAAAUACUUUAGCACAUUCCUAUUCUACUUAGGAUAAAUCCUCCACAGGACCUGUAGACUUCUGAGUCACAUGGCCCAGGCCUCCCUUCCAAACACCAUUUGAUGACCCUCUGCCUUGCUCAAGAAAACACUGGGCCUACUGACCUUCUCUUAAUACUGGUAACUCCUUAUCACUGAGUCAGGACCUUCUUUUCUUAAGCCCAGGAGACUUUUUCUUCCACUCAUUCUCCUGUGUAAAUGUCCUCUCCUUAGAGACAUCAUCCUAUGUUGAUUCAGAUUCCAAGUUCUCUCCAGUCUAAUUCUCCUUCAGCUGAAUUCUUUCUUACAGCGUCCUGUUCUUGGCUUUCAUUUGAUUUCUCACAAUUAAUAAUUUUGCAUAUAUUUGCAUGUUUGUCUGUCUCUGCUACUGGGCUGUAAGAGACCUGUCAGUUUUGCUCACUGGUCUAUACCUAGUCUCAACAUAGUACUUGGCAUAUAGUAAGCACUCAUUAAACUGUGAAGUGUGUGUGUGUGUGUGUGUGUGUGUGUGUAUGUAUACAUAUAUAUAUGUACAUACACAUUUUAGUGUAUGUAUAUUCUCAUGUAUUCUAUGAGAUUAUGGGCAAGUGUAUCCUAUAUUACAUAUAAAGACAGUAAGAGAAUAACUUACAGAGUUAAAAGUAAGUGUAAAAGGAGCAGUUAUAUUAAAUUUUGAAAAGAAUAAACUAUUAAUUAUGUAAUUCUCCAUUGUUCCAUGAAAACAGAUGUGACUAUUCAUUAGCACUGACUAAUGAAGGAUAUGUUAUUUCAGAUAAUCUAUCAAAAAAAAUACCCUCUUUCCAGCAUAUAAAAUCUUUCUCUCCCCAUUGUCCUCAAGAGCUAGGACUUUAUAACCUACUUUUAUUUUGGUCCUAAAAAUAUUUUUUCUCAAAAAUGCUUUAGAAGUAAUUGAGAUCAUCAAUAAGAAAUUUAUGCAGCUUUCUUGGAAAUGUUAUGAGUUAGGUCCUAGCAACCUAUCUCUAAGGCUAUGAAGCACUGAUAGUCUGGCAUCUAUUUUAUCUGAACCAACUCCCUGCUUCAGAAACUGCUGUCUUGAAAUACCGUUCUGGGCUGAAUAUCUAUUGCAGUAUGUAUAAAAUGGAAUUACAGGCCAUUGCUACAUUUGCUGCAGUUACUGGCAUGAUGGAUUAUAGGUACUCAGUCAGACUGCAUUUAGCAUUAUGAUUUAGUAAAGUAGCUGAAAGAGGAACAUUUGUUCUCUUUUUGUUUUGCAAUAAUGUUUUUAUUAGAAAUAUAUGUACAUUGUUGAAAACUGGAAAAUGCCAAAAAUAGAAGGAAAAGAGUGAAAAUUGCUGAUGAUACCACCACCAAGAAAUCAUCACCAUUAAUAUUUUGGCUUUUUUGUUUUCAGAUUUUUUCCAUUAUGAAAUUGUUGAUAUUUGAUCCUCUUGACCUAUAAAAAUGUUAAUAUCAUAUAGCUUACUCGAACAUAUCCAAAUAAUGUCAUAUAUAUUAUUUUAUGUACCAAAAAGCAUACUAAACAGAUUGUUUUAUAGCUUACUUUUCUCAUUUUUAACAUUAUAAUUUAAGCAUUUGUUCAUAAUAUUAAAACUUUUUGAAAACAUUAUUAUGAAUGACUAUUUCAAUAUGUGGAUGUACCACAACUUACCUAAUGAUUUACCUACUGGUAAUCAUUGAGUUGGACUGGUUGGACAUGAGUUGUUUCUAAUUUGUCGCUAUUACAAAUAAUGCUCUGAUAAAUAUGUAUAAUUAAUUUGUGUUUCAGAUUAUUUUUAUUUCUAGAAAUGAGAUUCUUGGUUAUAGGCUAAAUAUAUUUUCUUGGUUUUUUUUUUUGUUCAUUUGUUUGUUUGAGAUGGAGUCUCCCUGUCACCCAGACUGGAAUGCAGUGGCAUGAUCUUGGUUCACUGAAACCUCUGCCUUUCUGGUUCAAGCAAUUCUCAUGUUUCAGCCUCCCAAGCAACGUGUUGGACCUUCCGGAGCUUCUCAGAAGACAGAGGGUUUUCUUUUGAGGAUUUAAACCUCAGACACAGGGAGCUGACCUAUUCACCUUAGAAUCCUCUGGGGCACCCAUUACAGUGUCUGUACCAAGGAGGCAACAAAGAACGGCGGAACAGACUGGAGCAGAAGGACCACCCAGCAGAGCCAAGCCAAAUCACUGACCCUCAGAGGCCUGAUGUGAAUGCUUAUGGCUUCAGUCCAUUGGAUUCUGCAGUAAUCUGCCGAUCUACAGUAUUACCACAGUAAAUAACCGAUAGACCUGAAAACGAAUGCAUGCCUUGUGCCAAAAUUGCAGGAAACCUCACCAGGAGAAACAAUUUUAUAUGAGGGAAUGUACUCUCUCCUUUGCAUUUUCCCUCAAAUCUAUAUUUUUAGCCCCUCACUUGUCUCUACAGAGCCUCAGUUGCUUAAUCUAAUUGCUGACUGAACAUCUCCAGGAAACUGUGUGUACGUGUUUGUAUUCAUAGUAUAUUUAUUUAUUAUCUGUUUACUUCCAUGGGAUAUAGUCUCCAUAAGAGAGUAGUCAUCAUUGUAUUUGUUGAUGCUUAAUAAAUAAUCAUUGAAUGGGCCGGGUGUGGUGGCUCAUGCCUGUAAUCCCAGCACUUUUGGAGGCCGAGGUGGGCAGAUCACAAGGUCAGGAGAUUGAGACCAUCCUGGCUAACAUGGUGAAACCCUGUCUCUACUAAAAAUACAAAAAAUUAGCUCGGUGUGGUGGUGGGUGCCUGUAGUCCCAGCUACUCAGGAGGCUGAGGCAGGGGAAUGGCUUGAACCCAGGAGGCGGAGCUUGCAGUGAGCCGAGAUUGCGCCACUGUGCUCCAGCCUGGGUGACAGAGCGAGACUCUGUCUCAAAAAAAAUAAAAAAAUAAAAAACAAUAAAAUAAUCAUUGAAAGAAGGAAUCAAAGAAUGUGGUCCCGGGUUGGGUGCCCUUAGUUCAGUCCCUGAGAAUUUAUGAGUAUAAUGUUUUGCUUUUUAAAAAGUGAAAAAAGGGAGCAUAGUUUCAUUGAAGGAGAAGUUAAACUAUGACUCAGGCCCCCAAACAGUCUCACCUGACCCCAUAUGCUGCUGUUGGACUAAAAUGUCUCAAUAGAACUGUCCUUAGUCAGCCGCUUUACACCUGCUUGGAUUAGCCACUGGAUAUGAAGCUUCCCCAGAAAGUGGAGAGAACUCAGCAAGGGUGCUCUCCAUAGCUGAAGCAACCCUGGGAGGGCCUGAGAGCCAAGUCUAUCUUCCAACAGUAUUCCCAGCAAAUGGUGAAACAAGUCAUUCAUCAAGGAGGGAUCUAGGUGGCUGAUGCCUGCAUCAACCACAGUCUGCCUCUGUUCAGCUUGAAUCCAUUUCUUCAUUUGUAGUCUGAGGGUGUAAGACAAAUGCAUGUGUCUGUGUGUUCAGGAUUGUAGGAGGUGGAGGUCUGUAUGUUUAGGGUAGUGUGUCUUUGUGCAUACAAAGUUGGAGUUUGUAUGUAUGAAUUUAGGGAGUUUGAGGGGCUGUAUAUGUAUUAGGGAGGAAAGCCACCACAUAUGUUUGUGGUAGAGUUGGAGUUUUGUGUAUAAUGUGAGGAUUCUUUUGGAUUAUAUGUGUUCUGGACUGUGGGUAGUUUAUGUGGAUAUUCAGAGUAUGUGUAGGGAGCAUGUAUAUGUAUUUGAAGGAGGGUAAGGUUAUGUGAAGUAUGUGUUGAAUUCUGGUGGGAUGAGGCAUGUGUGAAUUCAUAGCUUCUGCAGGUUUUAUGCAGCUGGCCUGAGAAGGUUGGAGUGUCUAAUAUAUGCAUUUGGAGAUUGGGAGUUGGUGUGUCUGUGCAUUUAUUUGGAUCAUGGAAGGUUGUAGAUGUGUAUUUCUAACUGUAGAUGAUUGAGGAUGCAUAUUUGGGGAGUUUUGAGAGGACGUGUAUGUGUGUGUGUGUGCAGUGUGGUAUUUCUCUGUUUUUGAGGGUGGGGUAUGCAUCCAUCAAAAUAUCUCAGAUUAUCUGAUGUAAGAAAAUAAUUCUGCAUCUCAGUGACUUCCAACAAGGUAGGUUUCUCAUGUAUGUUAUGUGUCCUCCAUUGGUUGGCUUUGAUCAGUUACUGGUCCUGUGUCUUGGAUCCAGAUGGAUGGAGCAGCCUCAUUUGGGACAGGACUAGAAGGACUUCUUCUGCUCAGAGUCAUAUAUGGCAUUUCUGCUCACAUUUCAUUUGCCAUAACAAGUCAUGUGGCCAUACUCGAGUUAAACAGACUAGGGAUGUAUAAUCUCUCAGACAGAGAUACCACAGAGAAGGACCAUGAAUACUCUUCAUAGUGAUACAUCUGCCCCAUUGUGUAUACAUUCAGAACAUGUUCCAUUGCUGUGUUUAUAUUUCACUAAGGAGUAUGGGGAGUUGAUGAGGGAGUGUGUUUAGGUGUGUGAAGGCUGGUGUGUGACGAGGCAUUGGCAGGUGUGGGAUAUUUUUAUACUAACACAUUUUGGGGAUUUGUAUCUGUUUUGGGUAUUUGUAUUCUGUGUCAUGUAUAUGUGUUAUAUAUUUAAGAUAUAUAUUUAUGUAGGUAGGUUAAGUAUUCAGUGGUGUCAGAAAUGUGUUUUUAGGGGAAUAUGGGUGAGUUUUUAGUAUAUUACAGAAGCAUAGUGGGUUUUGGGUUUAUUCUGAGGGUACUGGAUAGUUAUGUGUUCCUAUUUGAAUGGUGUGUGUGUAUUUGCAUGCUGGGGGUGGUUUUGUGUAUUUUGACGGUACUGUGAGAUAUUGUGAAUAUGUGUGCAUACAUUUGAAAAGGCAGGUAAUGUUCUAUGUUUUAAUGCUUUGUGUUUUGGAUUUGUGUGUAUUCAGAGUAGAGGACUUUAUGCUUACGGUGUCUAGAUGAGAAUUUAGAUGUACAUUUUUGGUGUGAAGAAUUUGGAGGCAGAGAGAUGGCUGGGUGUAUUUGGGUGUUACCACUACAUGUAUGUAACCUGAGGAUAUGGACAGAAUAUUUAUAGUUUUCAAGAUGGAGGCUUGUGUAUGUUUGUAUUUGGGAGUAUACGGCCAUGUGUGUAUUUGGAUCUGUGAGUAUAUCGUGGGUGUGUUAUUCAAGCAUCUGCAUGUUUGAGUUUGUGUAAUCUGAAGAGUGUGAAUUUAUUCAGGAAAUGUGGUGGCUGUGCGUCCACUCUAGAGCUGUGAGUGUGUGGUCUGUGCUUCUACCAGGAGAGUAUAGGAUAAUUUCCUCUUUUUUUCUAUUUUUAUAACAUUUUAUGUAACUCAUAAAACAGUGUUUGUAUAAAAAUUCACACAAAGUUGCUAGAGAGCAUACGAUUUCCAAAAAUGUCCUGGGUUUUUCAUUACAUUAAGUUUUUCUAAGGAUGCACUCAAAUCAAUGGUAAAAUGCAGACAUUAUGUGACACUUCAUUAUCUUUAGCAAAACUAUUCUCACUACUUUGUCUCCUCACAGUAUUAACUCUGAUACCCACUUUGUGCAGGGUUUGCUAGUACUAGGAUGUCACAAAACCAUUAAGGCUGGAUCUACAAGAGGCAAAUAUUUCCAAACAGCAGUAAUAGCCCCUUGGCCCCCACCCCCACUUCAUAUAUCCAUACAGUCUGUCUACACAGUGAGGCAGGGUGCAAGCUCACCACCACUUGGGAGUCUCAAGAUCCUCCCUCUAUUGGGUGAGAAGCAAACAUUUGGGGAAAAUGUUGGAAACUGAGGCCGUCUCUACAGGAAACCACGUGGCCAUGCUCUAGUGUUUUUGGGUCAGCGACCCUUACCAAUUAAACGGCCACUCAGUACAUUCAUAACUAUCUUCAUUCUUUAAAAACUUACUAACAGAGAAACCAAUGAACCCUACCACCUACUGUGACUUACUAGUUCAGUCAACAUCAAAACGUGUCUGCUAAUUUUUUAGUCCUUGGGAUACAAGACAAAAAAAAACAAACAAGUAAAAACCAAAGAAUUUAGACAGGGGGAAGGAAAGGGAUUGCCAGUAGAUUUCAUGGAACACAUUAAAUUUUGAAAAAAAUCAGUAUUUUCUACUUCUCUUCCUUCGUGUAAAAAGUUUAAAAUAAAAAAAUGCCCACUGGAGCCACCUGUAUGGAUGGAGAAGUGAGGACAUGAUAUAGACAGGGCACAGGACCUGCAGUCGUUUCCUGACGACAGUCCAGAGGGACAGGAAUAGUUCCCAGGAUGUGUCCAUUUCUCUUCACAGAAAGGGACUGUAACAUUUUGAGGCAAGAAGCCCUACACGUGAAAGGUGUUAAGAAAAUCAUCACUGAAAUAUGGUUUCCAAAAAUUGAGCAUGCUCUAGGUUACAAACAGACAUAUUUAAUUCCUAGAACUUGUUGAACUUCUCUGACAUGGGUAGAUGGGAAUUUCAAAAGAGUUAUUAAUAAUUGUGGUUCUAAAGUUGCAGGGUCAACAUUUCACCCUCUAGAAAGCAGGGCAAUUCAGGGCUUAGAGUCUUCUUGUUUACAUCAUAGAAACCAGAACAAAUUUCAUGGGACCCCUCAGCCCCAACAACCAGCGGCCAGGUGGAGAGAAGGCCACAGCUGUCUUUGGGUAGGGAGCCUGUGUGUGCAUGCUGUGUGCAUGUGCUGGAGAGACUAAGGCAUAGAGAAGGGCCCAAGCAAUGAGGUAAAGUGAGUCUCCUGGCUGCGCUAGUCCCUUCUUUCCAGGCACAAAGAAGUUGAACUUGUUAUUCAUGUAGGCCCCCUUCCUCUCACCUCAGCUUUUAGUAAGCAGUGUGUGUGUGCACGAGUAGCUGUGUGUGACAGAGUAAGUCCCUGUGCCUUUCUAGAUUUCAGCAAUUCAGGUUUGCAGUUUCAACAGAAAUAAUCUGUAAAUGACACGAGCAAAUUUACAAGUUAGAUUAGCAACUUUACAUUGCUUAAAAUCUGAUAUUAUAUUUUUAAAAAUGCCUCUGGGUACAGGCAAAAUUAUGUCAUAUGGCCACUGGAACUGAAGUCCUUACCAGCUAUGUGAAGAAUAUUCAGAUUGUUUCUGUUAUCUCUGCAUUUUAAAGUAGCAAAAUACUAAGCCAUUAGGUUAUUGAACCUGUAAUAUUCCCACAGGGGUUUUAUGUCUACCCCAUGGGAUUCAAUUAAUUUUCCUGGACCCUGGUUAGACUGUUUCCUUUCCCUCUUAGGCAUUUGGCCCCCAAAGUUAGGUAGGUAAAAGUGUCAUUUUUAAAGAUUUUACCUGUCAGGGAAUUUCCUGGUUGGUGCUCCUGGAAAGCAUGCAGCUGGCCGGCGGGAGUCUGACAUUCUCAGUCAGUGGGGAGAGAAGACAUGUGUCUCCCAAAGCCAAGAGGUAGCCAGGUGGAGGACAGCAGGACUUUCUAGGGGGUCCAAGGGGAAAGUUCUGAGUGGACCCUGGGAAGGGACAUGGGUGCCCCAUCUGAGAUGACCUGUGUCCUUCCAAUGCCUGGUAUCCCCAAGAGGGGCCCAGACAUGGACCGCCCUGGGGAACGAGGAUGUGGUGCUGCCUGGAGGAGCUAACACUGAGGUUUGGGGAAGUCACCACACAGCUCCCAGAACCCAGAAUCUCUGACAAGCAACCAUGUGUGGAGAGGGAAUGGGGACAGUGGAAGGACACAGCUCAAAUGAAGACACUGCGGACAUGUUUCCAUGGCUUUCUACAUUCUUCAUCAUCAUCGAGUGUUCUCCUCUACACAGUGAGCACAACAUUUUACCCACGUGCCUGAUGGACAGGCCAAGCUGAAUGGAAGCCUUCUGAGGCACUGGAGCAGAAGGGAAAACUUGCACAUGGUCGCAAAGGACUUCACACUGUUCCAUCCCCUCUACUGCCAUCCAAGAGGCCUCUUGACUCUUCCAGAAUCAGAUGUAAAAGACAAGGGCAGUGGCACUGCUCGUCGUUGCUGGGGAUACAUUCGCAGUGCCACACCUCCUCCACCUUCUCCACGGGGUAGACGGCUUCCACCUAGUGGCAGAUGAGCCGCAGCUGCGUAGGGUCCAGCUGCUUCUUGUUGCAAGCCCGAAAAUUGUUGUACUGCAGCUGGAGGUUCUCGGCGGUGGAGGAGCCCCGCGGCAAAGUUGCCCACGGAGAGGCUCUGCUGCACGAUCUUGCACACCUCCUUGUCGGACAGCAGGUAGGGAGAGCGCACCGGGAAGCUCAGUGAGGGACCACCACCUCAUCCAAGGGGAUCUUGCAGAAGUCCUUGCUGCUCCUCUCGGGGGCAGCGGGGGACCCUCAGACUCCUCUCUGAACCUCUCAGGAUUGAUUGCAUAGCUCCUCAUGUCUUUACACUCGGGGCCAGCACGUGGACCUUGCACUGCUGCUGGUAGGAGCGCCUCUGUUCCUGUUCCAGUGCAGGUUGCCCAUGAACUCAAGGGUCCAGACGCGAUUGUUUUUGGUGCAGAGGUAGAGCAGGUGCACUUAGUGGCGAAUGAGCUUGAUGCAGGACGGGUCCAGCUGCUUCUUGCCCAGGGAGUCGCUGCAGCUGUGCUGCUUGUGCAGGUUGUCAUGGGUGAAGAGCUUGGGGAAUAGGGGCACCAGCAGGCGCGAGGUGAAGUUGCCGAUGGACAGGCUGCUCUCGUAGAUACUGUGAAGAUGCUCGUUGCUGAGCAGGCCGUCGGCGCCGGGCACCUCCAAGUUGGGCUGGGGAUCUCCAAUUUGACCAAGUCGAUAGGUACCAGUCAGAUCUUCUUGGAGCGGCACCGCUCGCCCUUGAAGCUAUCCUCCACCCUGAUUACUGAGAUGUCAUCGGGCAGGCUGGAGGAGUUGUAGCAGUUGUCGCGUGGGGGGCUCGCCUUCGCUGCCUGCGUCCAGCCCCAGGCCCUGAAGCUUGUCGUUGAUGCACUGGGCGCACCGCUGCAGCCAGGCCUCCUCCUCCUGCAUGUGGGGGAAGUAGACCUCCGUGAAGUUGCAGAUGAUCUGCAGCCUCUGCGGGUCCAGGUCCUGCUUGCCGCCAGGCCUCCUCCUCCUGCAUGUGGGGGAAGUAGACCUCCGUGAAGUUGCAGAUGAUCUGCAGCCUCUGCGGGUCCAGCUCCUGCUUGCCGCCGUCCCCGUAGCAGCUGUCCUGCUCGCCCAGCUUGCGGUAGUGGAAGAGCUCAGGGAAGAGCCAGUGGAGGAGGAAGACGGCAAACUCGCCUGUGAAGAGGCUUCAUGCAGGAACUAAGUGAGGGCCUACAUGUCCACCACGUGGUCUGAGGCGAUGGUGCUGCUCCAGUCCAGAGACAGGCCCUCCUCCUCGUCUUUGUGGUCCAGGAAGUGGCCGGGGUCCACUGCUCAGCCUCAAGCUGGCAGCCUGGCCACCGGGCUGGCUGUUCUCCAUCUCCCGCUGGGCCCAGAAGUGGCUGAAGAACUUAUUCAGCUGGGGCAAGCACUCGGCCUGUCACACAGCCCUCUCCUUCACCGAGGGGUAGUAGACCUCCAUGUAGUUGUGGAUGAGCUGCAGGUGCAGUGACUCCAGCUUAAGCUUGGCCUCAAAGCUGCAGGCACUGCAGCCUCGGGAGAAGUUGACUGUGGCUGAAGAGCUUGGGGAAGAGCUGCACCAGCGGGCAGCAGGCCAGGACCCCGCCUGACAGGCUCUG